This 443-nucleotide ribosomal RNA is filed under the name uncultured bacterium. Its description in RNAcentral is "partial 16S ribosomal RNA". It matches the Rfam family "Bacterial small subunit ribosomal RNA", at positions 338 to 795 of the family's 1533-position model. The record is from RNAcentral.
CCUACGGUGGGCAGCAGUGGGGAAUAUUGGGCAAUGGGCGCAAGCCUGACCCAGCAACGCCGCGUGAAGGAAGAAGGCUUUCGGGUUGUAAACUUCUUUUCUCAGGGACGAAGCAAGUGACGGUACCUGAGGAAUAAGCCACGGCUAACUACGUGCCAGCAGCCGCGGUAAUACGUAGGUGGCAAGCGUUAUCCGGAUUUACUGGGUGUAAAGGGCGUGUAGGCGGGACGGCAAGUCAGAUGUGAAAACCCUGGGCUCAACCUAUGGCCUGCAUUUGAAACUGUAGUUCUUGAGUGCUGGAGGGGCAGACGGAAUUUCUAGGGUAGCGGUGAAAUGCGUAGAUAUUAGGAGGAACACCAGUUGCGAAGGGGGGUUGCCGGACAGCAACUGAAGGUGAGGGGCGAAAGGGUGGGGAGCAAACAGGAUUAGAUACCCCAGUAGUC